UAUAUUCUUCCUCCGUCUGAAAAUUCAUGUAUUAGGUUUGUCUAAAAAUAGAUGUAUCAAAAAUUAAAACAUGACUAGAUACAUUCAUAUCUAGACAAAUCUAAGACAAAAAUUUUAGGACGGAGGGAAUAGUUU
This is a non-coding RNA of Hordeum vulgare subsp. vulgare (domesticated barley), 135 nucleotides long. The record is from Rfam. Lineage: Eukaryota; Viridiplantae; Streptophyta; Magnoliopsida; Poales; Poaceae.